GAUGAACGCUGGCGGCGUGCCUAAUACAUGCAAGUCGAGCGAACAGACGAGGAGCUUGCUCCUCUGACGUUAGCGGCGGACGGGUGAGUAACAUGUGGAUAACCUACCUAUAAGACUGGGAUAACUUCGGGAAACCGGAGCUAAUACCGGAUAAUAUAUUGAACCGCAUGGUUCAAUAGUGAAAGACGGUUUUGCUGUCACUUAUAGAUGGAUCCGCGCCGCAUUAGCUAGUUGGUAAGGUAACGGCUUACCAAGGCAACGAUGCGUAGCCGACCUGAGAGGGUGAUCGGCCACCCUGGAACUGAGACACGGUCCAGACUCCUACGGGAGGCAGCAGUAGGGAAUCUUCCGCAAUGGGCGAAAGCUUGACGGAGCAACGCCGCGUGAGUGAUGAAGGUCUUCGGAUCGUAAAACUCUGUUAUUAGGGAAGAACAAAUGUGUAAGUAACUAUGCACGUCUUGACGGUACCUAAUCAGAAAGCCACGGCUAACUACGUG
RNAcentral lists this ribosomal RNA (497 nucleotides) under uncultured bacterium. RNAcentral's name for it is "partial 16S ribosomal RNA". It matches the Rfam family "Bacterial small subunit ribosomal RNA", at positions 28 to 507 of the family's 1533-position model. The record is from RNAcentral.